Molecule: long non-coding RNA, 9142 nt
Organism: Motacilla alba alba
Lineage: Eukaryota; Metazoa; Chordata; Aves; Passeriformes; Motacillidae
Exons: 4
Source: RefSeq, a predicted model, not a curated record
UCUGCUCUUAGGCUUCAUAGUGGAAAUCUGGACUGACUUCAGAUGAGUGAGGUUACUCUGCAAAUGUCCCUGUGUGAGACCAGCAGCUAGUCCAGGAGAAGAGUGUCACGGGCCAUUGCUGCUUGGUUUUCUCUCGUGAGCUUUCAGUGAGAUGUGCCAGGUCUGCAGGAUGGUAAUACUUUUUUCCUCUUCUGUCUGAUUGUUGUAGGUCAGCACCAUCCAUGCCAGAGAAGGUUUUGGGAGUGACUGAGAUGUGUUUCUGAAAAACCUGUCUUUAUGACAAGAAGCAUGGAAUCCAGGUCACUUGGAUUAAAUCCAUGGGAAAAUGCCCCGAAAAAUUAAUUUAUGAUGGAUGAGAUUGAUGCUGAAAAGGCUGACUUAAUUUGUUUCAUUACGUUUGGAAAAUGAAUCUGAAGGCUUGACAGCAGCAAACUGAAGUGGGCACAGCAAAGCCCAUUUCUUGGCAAUCUUCACUCAUAGCUUUGUCUGUGCAUCUCUCUAAUGGUAAGUAAUGUGCUGAUCUUUGGCAGCUCCUGAACAAAAUCCUGACUUAAUUUUGCACCCAGGGGAGAGUACAAAUCAUCAGCGUGUUGUCGUUCGUGGUGUUUAUUUCUCAGAAACUUCAGUAGUGCAAAGAGAUGGUUCUGAAACAGAGGCUGGUGAAGGGAGCAAUGGGAGAAACAGGCUAUUCAGAGUAGGAAAAGAGGGUAUUUCCUACCACUGUAUUCAAGGAAAAAUGGAGCUGGAAGCUUGAAGACCAGGUGCUGCUUAACCUGUGGAAUGCACAGGUCCUUAGCAGGGAUUUGUGCUUCCAUGUACACCAUAACUGCUUAGUGCUUCCUGAGCAGCGGUCUGCUGGUGACAAAAGGAUGUCACACAUUAACUUCUGUUUGGGAACGCAACCAUCUUAAAGCUUCUGAGAUGACAGCAUUUCUCUUCUCUGCCUUUAUUGAAUCAGAUUAAAUGCAGAGCACAUUUUUAAACUUUAAUGUCAGAAUAGCUCUCCAAUAUGUUGUUGUUAGAACUUCUGUCAUGAGCAAAAGCCUUCUGCCCCUUCUCAUUUGACUAAUGAAGGGGAUGACUAAUGAAGCGAGAGUGCAAGAGUUCACGCAUAAUUUCAUUCUAUUUGAAUUUGAAAAUGCUGGGUUACAAAAAUGUUAUGAAUUUCCAUUUGUAGAAGAAAGAUAACUGUUAGAACAGAGCUCCUACUUUAAACUUCCUGCAGGGAUUUUCUUUAGCAUUGCUUCUUUUAUUGUAGUGAAAUGUAGAGAUUCUGAAAUUUUUUUUUCUUUUUAAACAAAGGGAGCUGUUUUUCUGAGUUAGCCAAUGCUGGUGCUCUCUGUGUUUUUCAGAUAUGGUCUUGACACUCUGGAUCUAUUACAAGAAAAGCUGAGGGUCUGGAAGCUGAGUAACAAUGAUGGGAAUCUACCUUGUUUGUCAUCAAAUCUUAGUCUGGGGAAAAUUAAAUCUUCCUGUAAAAUAAUAUGUUUACCCCAUUUUUAGAUUAGGCCAAAUUUGAGAAAUAAAGGCAUGAGUACCUGCUGGCACCUUGUGGGACAUCCAGCAGUGAUGCUGUAAGCUGCUGUUACCUGUGAAAAUGGGGUUUCCACAUGCAAACCUGGAGAAACCUAUGGCCACUUGGGUGUUUACAAGCACAAAAUGCCUGCAUGUUUAUGGCCAUGCAACGGUACAUGGACUUUGGCCAUAGAAAUGUUGUCCAUAAAGUGCAAAACCAUGGCUGUAUACAUAAGUGCAUUCCCUGCUGAUUAGCAACCUGCCAUAAACUCCUGUUGACAGAGCUAUUGGUUGUGCGUAAUCAUGGUGCGCGUUUUUUGGCCAUCACAUUAAGAUUCCCAGUUUCUUGUAAAAUCAGUCACUGCGGUAUUUUCUUUUUUUUUUUUUUUUUUAUUAAUACCUGUGUGUAUGAGGUGUCUGACAGAGUUAUUAUCCACUUUGGUGAUGAAAAACUCCUGCUGAGGUCCAGGGGAACAGGAUUCCAAAGACCAGCACGAUGUCUGUCUUAUAAAGCGCUCAUUCUUCUGACCGACCAUCUGUGUGUGAAAAAGGACUGCUCUUACGCAGCGGUAGUUUUGUUGAGUUUGGCCUUGAUUUCUUUUUUCCAGAUUUUGCCUAGCAAAAAGGGAGGGAGAGAAGGGAAAAAGCAAAUUUCAUUGGGAGAUGGAGGAGGUGGGGGUGGAGAGAAGGAGAGCUGAAAGCUUAAAAAAUGAGUGACUGGUGGAAGAGUACAGUAAAGUCAGUGAAUAAUUUUACUGUCCUGGUCUAGCAGCUUGGGAAUGUGCCAUGUUAAACAAUAACAUCUUCCAAGUGAGAAAGGCUGAGGGGGAGGGAAAAGUUGGGGUGAAGUGAGAGGAGGGGACUGGAGGUAAGAGAGGGAUUGGAUCCUUGAGUACAGUCACUGCCAGUCCUUGGAUCAGCUACUUUUUAUUUUUAUUGGUAUUUUUUUCAUUAAAUAUUUGAUGCUGAGUCACUGCCCAGGAUAUAAAAAUCCGUACUACUCUGUUACCAUUGCUUGACAAAUAAAAUUACAUAUAGGCUGCUGGCUUCAGGUUUUACCCAAAUAAAUUAAAUAAUUAUUGCUUCUUUGGGGCUUAUGGACCUUACUUCCCUAAAAUCAUUGUAUUGCAUUGAAGGCAAUUGAGAGGCAAAGAUGUAGGGCUGCCAUGCAUCUUGGCCUGGGUCUCUUUUCAUUUCUGUCCAUGCACUACUGAAAUGCUAUCCAAAGGUUUUGAAGGUUCCACAGAUUUAUCCAUGUUUUCCAAAUGCCUAGUAAGGUUAUCCAUUGUGACAUCUGUUGCCAGUUUGCUCUUAGCCAGGUGCACCUCUGGGAUUUCAGCACAUAGGUUAUCUUCGUCAAUGUGAUGAUCUACUAGGAAAAAUUAAUGUAGCUGGAUGCUUUGGGAAGCUUUGAGUAAACCCUACAGACAAUUUCCUGCUCUGCUUCAGGCUGUUUUCUAUACCUGCUUAGCAACAGUUCUGUGCUGCAGGAGUGCUGGUUUCAGGUUUGCCAUGGAGGAGAAAGAGGGCUUUCAGGGCACGAUGACCCAGAACAAAGGGGCUGUCAGUUCCCUGCUGGAGAAAACCUCUUAUCCUGACAGAGAUGGUACAUGAGGCCUGGGCAGUGGCCACCCUCAGCCUGGGUUUGGGCUUGCACUGAAUGCAAUUUUUGUGGUGGCUUGCCGACAUCUGGUUGGGAGGAAACUGAUGCUGUGACUGAGUGGGGCCCUUAGUUCUUAGUUUAAUUAAGAGUUGAGCUCCAGCAGGUCUGAUGCACCAUCUGGUGAGAAGAUGUCCCGUGUGUGCCUGGCUAUUCAUGUGUGGUGUGCCCCUCCUCCUCCCCAGCAUCAGCACACCGGGACAGCCACUCCCACCUGCUGCCACAGCCACAGUGCAUUUCAUGCUUAAACCUGCUGCCUUUCAUCAGUGGCUGCACAGACCCCGUGAGACACAUUUCUCUGGAGAGGUGCAGCAAACAGCAGCUUCAGCUGCCUGAUUGACUGGGAGGUUUUUUCAGGAGGGUGUGAAAUUUUAGGAGCCUCGAGGUUUGUUGUGCAGGCAGAGAGACAGGACCAAAAAUCUGUGAACAUCUCUGGGAUGUUGGACAACUUCAGGCAGUCGAGCCAAUGCUGGUAGGAGGCAAGCCUGAGAUCAACACUGAACUUGUCUGAAAAAAACCCCUCCAAAACCAAACCCAAACAAAAAUUAAUAAUAAAGAAAAAUAAAAUAUAUGUAGGAAGCUGAGCUUCCUAUAACAGGUCCUUUUAAAAGAGCUAAUUUAUCACAGCAUUGAUGGACACCCGACAAGAGGGAAGAAGGAGAAAGGAAUUGCUCUUCUAACUCAUAACUUAUGUCAGUUAAGAGGUAUUUCAUGCUUUCAUGGGGAUGGAAAGCCUCCAAUAAAUGGGUGAAAACAAUGUAGAAAACACUUCCCUAAUUAUCUAGUACAUCACAAUGAUGCAAUAGAAGGAAUGGCAACAACAGGAGUGGAAGGUUAGUGACAAAAAUCUGUUCCAUGCUAUUAAAAUGAUUCCUGAUCUAAAAAUGGGGACAAGCAGUAAAAGGACAAGAUUUGCUAAUGACACAAAACUAUUCAGGAAAACCUGAACUUUAAUCAGCUCUGGAGAACUGUAGAUACUAUUAGGAUGCUGAAUGACCGAAUCUCUUUUCUCAGCUUAUUUCUAAUAUUAAUAAAUGAAGAGUGAUGAAACAAGCAUAAACUACAUAUAUGCCAUGACUAGCAGGAAAUAGCUACUCCCACCCUGGGGGGAAACACCUCAGGUGUCAUUAUGGCUGUCUCUGAGAGUGUCACCACAAAAUGAUGGCAGAGUCAUCUAAAAUGCUAGGAUUUGGUAGAAGGGGAAUAGAAAUCAAAGUACAGAACAAGAGCAUCCUGCCACAGACCAUUCACACCUAAUCUUCUAUGUGAAGUUUUGAAAGAUUUAAUUUAAAAAUCCUAAGCAUUUUCAGAAAAAAACCCAAAGAUAUGGAUCAUAAGGAUGGUAUGGAGUGACUUCUACAUGACAAAGGGCUCAAUGGAUUUUCUAGGCUGGAAAAGAGUGACUGUAGGGGAAAGAUGAUAGCUAUUUUAAAAAUAAGAUUCAUAAGAGUGAAUGAAGGAUAGAGAAAUUAAAUAAGGAACUAUUUCUAUAUUCAUUGCUCCUCGCUAAACAAGGACUAUGAACAAGCAAAAGGAAAUGCAAUGGAGUUGUGCAUCUCAUUGGUACAUCUUGUCCUGGAAAAAAAGCAUUAGCAGGUUCAGAAAGGGAUCAGGCAAAUUAUAGGAAGAUGGGUUUGUGAGUACCUAUCAAACAUGAUGGCGCAGGUGCCAGCUCUCAGUUCAUGAAGUCUCUAAGCUGGUACCUUCCUGGGAGCUGGAGGGAUAUAGCAGGGAAAGAAUUACUCUGUACAUACCCCUUUUUCUCGUAGAUAUUUUUAAACUGAACUCUGUAGGCCUUUGAUUGGUUCAGAUGGUAGUGCCAAAUUAUGAGAUAUAUUUUUUCCCCCACUAGGUAGGAUAAAAAAUUGCUUCUUGUUGGCCUGGUACAAGUGAUACAACACAUCACUGAGUGAAUGGAGAGGGUGUUCAGUGAGGAGGAAGGCUCUGUACAGCCUGCCAGGGGAACCAGGCAUGUGGCAGGGGUGCCCAUGCUCCUCUCUGGCUGUGCAAGUGGAGAGGAUGAUGGAAAGUACUGCCAAGCAAUGUGAUCUUUGUUUGAUCAUCUGCCUUAAGUGAUUCAAACCACAUCUUUACACCAGAGAAAAUGACUGGCCACAGCUAAUUUGGGAGAUGGAAGUCUGCUCUGGGAAAGUGAGCAACAGCUGAUCAGAGGGUCAUGUUCUUGCUGAUAGUGGGGCUGCUGAUGUUUUUUCCAUAUCAGUGUCGAAGAGGAAAACCAGCAGCUCAUGUGCCAAUGGGAGGGAUAUCUGUUACCAAUGUCAGUACUUUGUAAACUUCUUCACUAUACUCCUUGUCUCUUCUCUUUACCUCUUAGUCGCUGCUUUAAUAAAUAUUUUAGAUGGAGAGAUAUUCUCUGAAGAACCUAAACCUGCUGUGUUGAUGAACUGUAAAUGUGUAGAACAGAACCUCCCUUUACCAUUUGCUCUGGGUUCCACUCACAAAAAUCUGAUGGUAAAAAUGAGUAGAAUAGACUUGAAGAAGUCAGGUGAAAAAGUUAAUACACUCUGAUUUAGCCAUAAAAGCUGAUAUUAAAAAAAAUAAUCAAAACACUUAAUAGAUCUAUUUGAAUAGACAAUGACAAUAGAUCUAUUUGAAUAGACAAUGACUUUCAAAGUAUAACAUGAGUUUUGCUGAGAUUCUGCAAUAUCUGGUUCACUUUGUGGGGCUUUUUUCCCAUUUCUGAUUUUUGUCCAAAACUGGAAGUGCAGGAAAUCCCAAGAAAGGCAGUUCUGGAGAUUUCCAGCUUAUUUCGGUGCUCUAGAGAUUCAGAUAAUCUGGGUAAACCUGUGAACUUUUGGAUGUUUAUCUGAACUGAACCUGAACUCUAAAUCUUCUAGGGUUCACCCAGCUAAGUCAGAGGGAGGAAGGCCUAUAAUGAUAAUUUUAAAUGAUUAUUUUCUCAUUCAGCCAUGGAUAUGACCCUUCUCAUCCUCCUGAGAAUUUCUUUGUGCUGCAUGGAACAAUGAGAAAGCUAAAUAGUGUGUAUCACAUAUGCACAAUUAAACAUUGCAUGCACCAUUACGGUUUCAGCUGCUGUACAUCCCAGUUGCUGGUUGCUGUCUUUGUAGGAGGAUUUCGCUAGAAAACAGAUGACUGUUUCCAGCCUGGCAUCGUCUUUAGUGAUAUCUUUCAUGCCACAUGAAGAUAACUUAGGGAAAAAGUGCUAGAAACAAAAUUACUGGACUGCAAUUGGCAAAGCCAGAAAAAGAAAAUAAUAACUGAUUCAAAAAACACAUAGGUGAACAUGUAGUGUUCAUUCUGUCAAGUUUUAAGAUGUGACUAUAGUAACAUUUUCCUUGUCUGACUGUAUAGUCACAGCAUCUGACUUCUUGAUGUUUAUCUAUGGAGACCUCUGGGAAACAGAGGAGCACUUCAUAAUAAUCUCUAUUCUACAGAAAAGAAUUUUCUAUUACACCAAAGAUAACAUCAUACCUUUCCUGAUGUCAAAGGCAAGGCACCAGCUGAUUUUUCUUGCUGCAGGAUUAUUUUUAGUAGAAGUUAAUGUAGGAAAUCCACAGCAGAGUGAGGAAUGAAGUCAGGAUUUCCCUCCACUUUGUCAAACUAUCCACACAUAUCCCAUCAUCCUCAACCAUUACCACUGGGUCAAAUUUGUACACUUGCAUUACAUAUCCAGUCUGAAAAGACACAGAAGUGCUGCACUGGUCUAGCUCUCAUGUCUUCUGUCCUUGUGAGACUGUAUCAGGUAUAACUGUGCUCUUGCACACACUGCCACACAGGUGUGGUGAAAGCAGAGUGUAUAUAGUAUUACAGUGUCCUUCCAGAUGCAAGAGAAUGAAUUGCUAGAAAAGUGCACAAGUAAAUUUCAUUUGGGAAGCUGGCAGACAGGUGCUCUGGUUGGAAGUCUGGAGAGGCAGUGUGCUUUAUGCUAGAGCUUGCUUCCCAAAUGCCUUCCCAAGCCAUGCUUCCAGUGCUUGUGAAAUCACUGUGACUUUCUUACCACAUCAGCAAUCGUUUAUGGCUCUGGAGUUGCCUGUCACUGCAGGGGAAAUUCAGAAGAGCUCAUUUCAUUUUUCAAGGGAAUUUGGAAACCAUCAGUGCUGUGUUUGAGCUCCUGGGUUUUCCACAGGACUUGGCGUUCAGCAGGGCUAUGCUGCUCUCAUCAGCUUCUCUCCAUGGAGCAGCUGCCUGCUGUGAUAUUUUCCAAACUUCAAGGAUUGCUGUUAGGUCCUUCAGGCACAGGAAGUGUCUCUUGCUAAGUUCAGACUAGACUUGUUCACAGAUUUUUGACGGAACUCUCAAACAAAUUGCAGUAACUUUAUACAUUUGAACAGAAGCUAUGUGGGAUUCAGUGAUUUUAUGGGAUUUCCAGAUUUUGAAAUUUCGCUAUCUUUCUGUUUUUCUCUGAGUAUGCAGGCAUGAGGUUCAUAGGUAUAAAGUUCUGCAAGCUGUACUUAAGGACUGAUUUUCACCAGUCCUUGUGAAUGGAGUCUUCCAGCCUGGCUUACCUUGUUUCACAUUGCACUCAGUCUUUCUAAAAUUUUGCCUUCUGGAGAGUAUGCUUUUUAAAAACCGCUGUCUAAACCUCAUUCAGCUUCUAGGAACAUCCUAUUGGAAAAAUUUGGGUUUUUUUUCUUCCUAUUGAAGCCAAUGCAGUGGAACACUAAGUGAGAGAAAUGUGUCAAUGAACAAAUCCUCUGUAGGGAAUGGCUUAGAAAUGUCCAUGCCAGCAGGAUGCAGGAAUAGCUCCUAGAUGUGUUUAACCCCAAAUGUGCAAUUGUGUUUAUACAGCAGAUCAAAGAAAAUGAACUUCUAUACAGGUCUGAGGAGAUCUGAACUAGGGGAAUGAAUUACACUUACUCGAAGGAUAUAGCACAGUGAAUUUUUUAUUAUCAAAGACUGCUUUGGGGCUUUUCCCACAGAUUGAAUUCUUAGUCUUAGCUCAAGCUGUAGGUAUAAAAUUGAUUCAAAUGUUCACUGUCUGAAACCUUUCUGGUAUGUCUAAAUAUGUAUUGUUCCUCUGCUUCUGUCUUGACAUUUAUUCUGUCAUCCAAAAAAAUGCUUAUGACUUUCUUUUGAAACCAGAACAGUGGAUGCAAGUUUAAAAACUUGAAUCCUUGCAAAAAAUACUUAGAUGUGAGUCUUGCAAUGUCUUUUACUCUGAAAAUGUUUUAAAGAGAAGUCCACCUGAAAGCAGGCCACCAUCAUCAGUAAGAUUCUAGUGCUGAUGCAGAUUUCUCUCAGAGGGAGAGAAAAGCCAGGGAAUAAAAUUGUAUUAUGAGUGGAAAUGAAAACAUUCAAAUGAGUGAAGCAUAAGAAUAAGCAGUCUCUUUAACAUGCCCUCAAAAGACAUCUUUCAGCUGGGCCUUCAGAUAAGGAAACAUUUCCAGUAGAGGUGCAAUUAGGAGAAAUAAUUGGGUUGGUUGAACUCUGAGUGAGUUGACCCUGAGCCUCAGUGUGACUUAGGUCUGAUACUCUCUCUGGAGAACAGAUUCUCCCCUGAGUCCCAAUGCCACAGGUUGAAGCGCUGACUCUUGAAAAUGCCAACCAGUGGGGCAGCUAAGAUCCUGAUCUGGAUGGGGAUCUGUGCAGCAUGGAUUGAAUCCCCUUUAUCCCCAGGGCACUUUAGCAUGCUGUGACUCUUGAUUUCUUUUGUUGCACUUACUUAUUUUGAGUUGUACGAUUCUGACAGCUCACAGCCCAGUUCCUUCUCUCCUGAUGAAAUCAGAGUAUCGUGCUUAAUGUCUUGUGUUUUGUUGUGCCAUGAGUUGCCAUGGAAAUGAGCCUGAGGUUGCAAAUCUAAUGAAGUCUCCUAUAUCGUGGAACAAAGAGGGGCAGGAAGUGGUGACACUGUGGGCAAGAAGCCUCAUGUGAAAAUCUCUUGUCUGAAAUCAGUAUAGGGCAAUCCUGGUACUGCUUAUCUUUGUCUGUCAGCGCAUCAGGGAAUCUUACUAGGACUUCCUCUGAUUAGGUGUCAUUCUUCCUCAU